GUGGGUACAGCUCAGUGGUAGAGUGUGUGCUUAGCAUGCAUGAGGUCCUGGGUUCAAGCCCCAGUAUCUCCA
RNAcentral lists this transfer RNA (72 nucleotides) under Camelus bactrianus (Bactrian camel). It matches the Rfam family "tRNA". Rfam says of the family: Transfer RNA (tRNA) molecules are approximately 80 nucleotides in length. RNAcentral also lists the same sequence under 2 other names. The record is from Rfam by way of RNAcentral. Lineage: Eukaryota; Metazoa; Chordata; Mammalia; Artiodactyla; Camelidae.